GACGAACGCUGGCGGCGUGCUUAACACAUGCAAGUCGAACGGAAAGGCCCUGCUUUUGUGGGGUGCUCGAGUGGCGAACGGGUGAGUAACACGUGAGUAACCUGCCCUUGACUUUGGGAUAACUUCAGGAAACUGGGGCUAAUACCGGAUAGGAGCUCCUGCUUCAUGGUGGGGGCUGGAAAGUUUCGGCGGUUGGGGAUGGACUCGCGGCUUAUCAGCUUGUUGGUGGGGUAGUGGCUUACCAAGGCUUUGACGGGUAGCCGGCCUGAGAGGGUGACCGGCCACAUUGGGACUGAGAUACGGCCCAGACUCCUACGGGAGGCAGCAGUGGGGAAUAUUGCACAAUGGGCGGAAGCCUGAUGCAGCAACGCCGCGUGCGGGAUGACGGCCUUCGGGUUGUAAACCGCUUUCGCCUGUGACGAAGCGUGAGUGACGGUAAUGGGUAAAGAAGCACCGGCUAACUACGUG
This 468-nucleotide ribosomal RNA is filed under the name uncultured bacterium. RNAcentral's name for it is "partial 16S ribosomal RNA". It matches the Rfam family "Bacterial small subunit ribosomal RNA", at positions 28 to 507 of the family's 1533-position model. The record is from RNAcentral.